UGUGAAACUUCAUCAAUCUUGGAAUCAAAAUCUAAAAUAAUUAAAGCACCCUAUUAGACUUCUAAGUAGGAGAUAUUCUAAUUUACGCCAUCAAAUCCAAUCUACAUCCAAGGGUCUCGACCAACCCGGGGAUCUAAAUAUUUAUCAGAAAUAGAUCUUUACAUGGAGACCAAGGUUACCUGAAUAUAAAAGAAUUUGGUUGUGAUUACUCUUCCUUGAUACUUGGAUCUACUUUUCCAUCUGACCAAAAUUCAGAUUUAAUGCUCAAAUUAAGAAAAAAUUAAUCUAAUUAAUGAAGAUUAGCCUUGAUCUAGGUGAAUCGAUAAAGAUAGAAAUAGAGAGAGAGAGAGAAUCAGUCUUGGCUAAGUCGGUGCAAGGGCCUGAUCAUAAUCUCUUGGGCAUAGACCAAACACACACAAAGAGAGAGAGAUAAUACUAUAGAAAUCAAUUAACAAAACAAAUAAACAAUGAAUAACAUGGGGAAAAACAGAGAAG
RNAcentral lists this long non-coding RNA (495 nucleotides) under Elaeis guineensis (African oil palm). RNAcentral's name for it is "long non-coding RNA (EGUI_LNC004835)". The record is from RNAcentral. Lineage: Eukaryota; Viridiplantae; Streptophyta; Magnoliopsida; Arecales; Arecaceae.